Molecule: ribosomal RNA, 492 nt
Filed under: uncultured bacterium
Lineage: Bacteria
Description: bacterial SSU rRNA
Rfam family: Bacterial small subunit ribosomal RNA
Source: RNAcentral
GAUGAACGCUAGCUACAGGCUUAACACAUGCAAGUCGAGGGGAAACGACAUCGAAAGCUUGCUUUUGGUGGGCGUCGACCGGCGCACGGGUGAGUAACGCGUAUCCAACCUGCCCACCACUUGGGGAUAACCUUGCGAAGGUAAGACUAAUACCCAAUGAUAUCCCACGAAGGCAUCCGAAUGGGAUUAAAGAUUUAUCGGUGAUGGAUGGGGAUGCGUCUGAUUAGCUUGUUGGCGGGGUAACGGCCCACCAAGGCAACGAUCAGUAGGGGUUCUGAGAGGAAGGUCCCCCCACAUUGGAACUGAGACACGGUCCAAACUCCUACGGGAGGCAGCAGUGAGGAAUAUUGGUCAAUGGGCGAGAGCCUGAACCAGCCAAGUAGCGUGCAGGAUGACGGCCCUAUGGGUUGUAAACUGCUUUUAUAGGGAAUAAAGUGGGUCUCGUGAGACUUUUUGCAUGUACCUUAUGAAUAAGGACCGGCUAAUUCCGUG